AGUCGCCGCGGGAAUACAGAGGGUGCAAGCGUUAAUCGGAAUUACUGGGCGUAAAGCGCGCGUAGGUGGUUCGCCAAGUUGGAUGUGAAAUCCCCGGGCUCAACCUGGGAACUGCAUCCAAAACUGGCGAGCUAGAGUAUGGUAGAGGGUGGUGGAAUUUCCUGUGUAGCGGUGAAAUGCGUAGAUAUAGGAAGGAACAUCAGUGGCGAAGGCGACCACCUGGACUGAUACUGACACUGAGGUGCGAAAGCGUGAGGAGCAAACAGGAUUAGAUACCCGUGUAGUCCCUGUCUCUUAUACC
This 301-nucleotide ribosomal RNA is filed under the name uncultured bacterium. RNAcentral's name for it is "partial 16S ribosomal RNA". It matches the Rfam family "Bacterial small subunit ribosomal RNA", at positions 510 to 808 of the family's 1533-position model. The record is from RNAcentral.